UGGGGAAUAUUGGACAAUGGGGGAAACCCUGAUCCAGCAAUGCCGCGUGAGUGAAGAAGACCUUAGGGUUGUAAAGCUCUUUCGCCCGCGAAGAUAAUGACGGUAGCGGGAGAAGAAGCCCCGGCUAACUCCGUGCCAGCAGCCGCGGUGAUACGGAGGGGGCUAGCGUUGUUCGGAAUUACUGGGCGUAAAGCGUACGUAGGCGGAUGCGCAAGUUGGGGGUGAAAUCCCGGGGCUUAACCUCGGAAUUGCCCUCAAAACUGCACGUCUUGAGACCGAGAGAGGUAAGGGGAAUUCCUAGUGUAGAGGUGAAAUUCGUAGAUAUUAGGAAGAACACCAGUGGCGAAGGCGCCUUACUGGCUCGGUACUGACGCUGAGGUACGAAAGCGUGGGGAGCAAACA
Molecule: ribosomal RNA, 402 nt
Filed under: uncultured bacterium
Lineage: Bacteria
Description: bacterial SSU rRNA
Rfam family: Bacterial small subunit ribosomal RNA
Source: RNAcentral